This 329-nucleotide ribosomal RNA is filed under the name uncultured eukaryote. RNAcentral's name for it is "partial 18S ribosomal RNA". It matches the Rfam family "Eukaryotic small subunit ribosomal RNA", at positions 1470 to 1796 of the family's 1831-position model. The record is from RNAcentral.
CCCUUAGAUGUUCUGGGCCGCACGCGCGCUACACUGAUGCAUUCAACGAGUUUAUAACCUUGGCUGAUAGGCUUGGGUAAUCUUUUAAACGUGCAUCGUGAUGGGGAUAGAUUGUUGCAAUUAUCAAUCUUGAACGAGGAAUUCCUAGUAAACGUGUGUCAUCAGCGCACAUUGAUUACGUCCCUGCCCUUUGUACACACCGCCCGUCGCACCUACCGAUUGAAUGGUUCAGUGAGUUGUAGGGACCGUGGCUGAGUCACCUUUAUUGGAGACACUGCUGUGGGAACUACUGCAAACUUCAUCAUUUAGAGGAAGGUGAANUCGUANCA